RNAcentral lists this ribosomal RNA (253 nucleotides) under uncultured bacterium. RNAcentral describes it as "partial 16S ribosomal RNA". It matches the Rfam family "Bacterial small subunit ribosomal RNA", at positions 524 to 776 of the family's 1533-position model. The record is from RNAcentral.
UACGUAGGGGGCAAGCGUUGUCCGGAAUUAUUGGGCGUAAAGAGCGUGUAGGCGGCCAGAUAAGUCCGCUGUGAAAUCUCGAGGCUCAACUUCGAGCUGUCGGUGGAAACUAUCUGGCUAGAGUCCGGAAGAGGAGAAUGGAAUUCCUGGUGUAGCGGUGAAAUGCGCAGAUAUCAGGAAGAACACCCGUGGCGAAGGCGGGUCUCUGGGCCGAUACUGACUCUGAGGAGCGAAAGCGUGGGGAGCGAACAGG